This is a non-coding RNA of Schizosaccharomyces pombe (fission yeast), 809 nucleotides long. The record is from the annotation of a GenBank genome assembly. NCBI's taxonomy places the organism in Eukaryota, Fungi, Ascomycota, Schizosaccharomycetes, Schizosaccharomycetales, Schizosaccharomycetaceae.
AAUUCGUUUACCCCUUAAUAGGUUAGUACAUUUAUCAUUAAUUUGCAUUGUCAUACCAUGCUUUGAAGCAGGCGCCAUGUGGAUUUUGCAUUUCAUUAUCGAUGAUCCAACAAGCUAAAUGGCAAACUUCAUGGGCCAAAGUAUUGUAAAGCCGUUCUUUUGUGACGAUUACUUUAUCAGAUAAUUCAAUGUAUGCGUAUGUCUUUUUCCCAAGUGGCGCGUCCUUGUUAUUUCGCUUAAGGUUAGCCCUACCAGCAGUAGUGCUAAAAGAUUUGGACCAAACUAUUCCAAUCUCCUUCUUUUCAAGCGAAGAAGUAAGCCGUCCCUGAAACACUUCGUCUUCUAAACGCGCAAGAAAGCACUUAGCCAACAUACCACGUUCUUUUAUAAACGACUUUCGUUUAGCAGCUGAAGAAAUUUGGGGCGCUUUUUCUUUUAAUUUUAAUACAGAUUGAUAUUUUUCAUUGACCGCAAUCCCCGUCGAGAUAACAUUUUUAUCCUCUGUAUUGUUUUCACGGUUACAAUCACGAUAUUGAGACAAAUGCGACGCUCUAAGGGUUUUGAAGUUCCGUUGGGAAAUAUUUGAAGAUAUAGCACUACCAAAAUUUUGACCGUUUUCUGAAAUGUGUUGUUUGAAAGGACAUUUAUCAUGAAUACUUGUUGAACAAGUAGAUGAAUUGAUCGGGCUUGCUAGCAAGGGAAUACUAAAUAUUGUUAUAAUUUGUUCUUAUAUAUUAUUUUCUUACUAGUUAAUAAACUCAAUAUCGUCUUCCUCGUCGUUUAGUGACAUGCUGUUUGAAACUUGCAUU